RNAcentral lists this ribosomal RNA (253 nucleotides) under uncultured bacterium. RNAcentral's name for it is "partial 16S ribosomal RNA". It matches the Rfam family "Bacterial small subunit ribosomal RNA", at positions 524 to 776 of the family's 1533-position model. The record is from RNAcentral.
UACGAAAGGGGCAAGCGUUGUUCGGAAUUACUGGGCGUAAAGGGCGCGUAGGCGGCCGAUCAAGUCAGGCGUGAAAUUCCCGGGCUCAACCUGGGGGCUGCGCUUGAUACUGAUUGGCUUGAAUGCGGGAGAGGAUAGUGGAAUUCCCAGUGUAGAGGUGAAAUUCGUAGAUAUUGGGAAGAACACCGGUGGCGAAGGCGGCUAUCUGGCCCGUAAUUGACGCUGAGGCGCGAAAGCGUGGGGAGCAAACAGG